This 254-nucleotide ribosomal RNA is filed under the name uncultured bacterium. RNAcentral describes it as "partial 16S ribosomal RNA". It matches the Rfam family "Bacterial small subunit ribosomal RNA", at positions 524 to 776 of the family's 1533-position model. The record is from RNAcentral.
UACGUAGGAGGCGAGCGUUGUCCGGAGUUACUGGGCGUAAAGGGUGCGCAGGCGGCGGUUCGCGUGGCGAGAUGAAAUCUCCUGGCUUACCUGGGAGGAUGGUCGCCAGACGGGAUCGCUUGAGGGUCGGAGAGGGGCGUGGAAUUCCGGGUGGAGCGGUGAAAUGCGUAGAGAUCGGGAGGAACACCCGUGGCGAAGGCGGCCAUCUGGACCAGCACUGACGCUGAGGCACGAAAGCGUGGGGAGCAAACAGG